GUUUGACCUCAAAUCAGGUAGGGUUACCCGC
RNAcentral lists this ribosomal RNA (31 nucleotides) under Nakaseomyces glabratus. RNAcentral's name for it is "[Candida] glabrata partial 28S ribosomal RNA". Lineage: Eukaryota; Fungi; Ascomycota; Saccharomycetes; Saccharomycetales; Saccharomycetaceae. The record is from RNAcentral.